This is a long non-coding RNA of Drosophila biarmipes, 823 nucleotides long. RefSeq lists it as uncharacterized. The transcript is spliced from 2 exons. Lineage: Eukaryota; Metazoa; Arthropoda; Insecta; Diptera; Drosophilidae. The record is from RefSeq and is a predicted model, not a curated record.
GAAGCUGUUCGAAGAGGCACGUUAUUGAUUUCCGUUUAAGGCUUGGAGGUGCCUUAAUCUUACGCAAUUGUUUGGCUGCGACUAGAUGAGCAACAAGUGCGAGUUGCGGAGCUUUAUCCGGUUGAAAGAACGUUUUAGAAAACAUUUAGGGCAAAAGAUGCCUGGAUAUCAAACGAAGCUGCGAUGAAAACAAAACUUUCUUUCCGAAAAUAAAGGAAAACAAAUCAUAUUGGCGUCAUGUUUUGUUGGCAAAAUUGGUCAAUAAAUCAAAUUUUUAAGGUGUGAGUGAAUGAAACAUUUCACAUUCGUACCAUUGCUUUUAUUGUUUCACCCAAAAUACCGGAGUAUAAAUGAGUUGGCCCCCAUUUCUAUUCCGUUUAUGUCAGCAAGUUAAUCGCCGACCAUCAAUUAACUACUAAUACGCUUCUGAACGAUAGCCAAUAAUUACCCAUUGCAAAUCGGAUAAUAGCUGUAAUGGACAUCGACGCCCACGAGCACACCUGACAUUUAAGACUCCUAAGAGUAUAUUAAUUAUUACAUCAUUAAAGGUUUGGGGCUAUGCUUUUCACUUUCACUUAACUAAUCGGUCAUAACGCAGGCUGAUUUAUAUCACAAUUAAACGUAACCGUUGCCGCAACACGUUUUUGGUACUAUGAAAUUCUGCCACUGUAAGUCCCUUUUAUUAAGUUUAUCUUAAUCUUUGCUUAAAGUUACGGUGACGAUUUGAUGAUUUUCAGGAACAACAUAAUAUAAAUUUAAGUAACGCUUGUAUACAGUUUAGUAGUCGUUAUUUACAAUAAAUAAUUCAUAUAAAUUUAAGUAA